AUGCUAUUGAAGGCAAACUUCCAUGUUGUUCUAUAUGAGUGCAUCGCAGUAUUGGAUGUCUUAUUGUGCCUGGCUGACUACAGUCGAGGCCCUAUGUGUCGUCCAGUAAUUCUGUUGCCAGAAGAAGGCACUCCUCCCUUCUUAGACCUUAGAGGAUCAUGUCAUCCCUGCAUUACGAAGACUUUUUUUGGAGAUGACUUUAUACCUAAUGACAUUCUAAUAAGCUGUGAGGAAGGGGCAGAGGAGGAAAAUGGCAAAGCUUAUUGUGUGCUUGUGACUGGACCUAACAUGGGGGGCAAGUCUACACUCAUGAGACAUGCUGGCCUAUUAGCUGUAAUGGCCCAAACAGGUUGUUACAUACCUGCUGAAGUGUGUAGACUCACACCAAUUGAUAGAGUAUUUACUAGACUUGGUGCCUCCGACAGAAUAAUGUCAGGUGAAAGUACGUUUUUUGUUGAACUGAGUGAAACUGCCAGUAUAGUUACGCAUGCAACAGCACAUUUUCUGGUGCUUGUGGAUGAAUUAGGAAGAGGUACUGCAACAUUUGAUGGAACAGCAAUAGCAAAUGCGUUGUCAAAGAACUUGCUGAGAACAUAAAGUGUCGUACAUUGUUUUCUACCCACUACCAUUCAUUAGUGGAAGAUUAUUCCCAAAAUGUUGCAGUGCGCCUGGGCCACAUGGCAUGCAUGGUAGAAAAUGAAUGUGAGGAUCCCAGCCAGGAGACUAUUACCUUCCUCUAUAAAUUCAUUAAGGGAGCUUGUCCUAAAAGCUAUGGCUUUAAUGCAGCGAGGCUUGGUAAUCUUCCAGAGGAGGUUAUUCAAAAGGGACAUAGAAAAGCAAGAGAAUUUGAGAAGAUCAUUCAAUCACUGCGAUUAUUUCGGGAAGUUUGCCUGGCUAGUGAAAGGUCGACUAUAGAUGCUGAAGCUGUCCCUAAAUUGCUGACUUUGAUUAAGGAAUUAUAGACUACAUUGGAAGCUUUGAGUUGGCUUUUGACACAGGUGGUAAAUUCAGACAACAUUAUGAUCUAAUUAACUUUAUUUUUUAAAAAUGAAAAAAAAAA
Odobenus rosmarus divergens (Pacific walrus) is the source of this 1060-nucleotide RNA transcript. It is a transcript of the gene named DNA mismatch repair protein Msh6-like, with no coding region annotated. The record is from RefSeq and is a predicted model, not a curated record. The transcript has a single exon. NCBI's taxonomy places the organism in Eukaryota, Metazoa, Chordata, Mammalia, Carnivora, Odobenidae.